UGUAAAUACCCUCCUUGGGUGUUUCCUCCCUAGACUUAAACCGCGCCCCGUGCGCGGUUCUUUUUUGGCGAUA
Molecule: small RNA, 73 nt
Filed under: Rhizobium sp. Root1212
Lineage: Bacteria; Pseudomonadati; Pseudomonadota; Alphaproteobacteria; Hyphomicrobiales; Rhizobiaceae
Description: Makes More Granules Regulator RNA (mmgR)
Rfam family: Makes More Granules Regulator RNA (mmgR)
About the family: SuhB later renamed mmgR (makes more granules regulator) was a putative non-coding RNA found multiple times in the Agrobacterium tumefaciens genome and related alpha-proteobacteria. Other non-coding RNAs uncovered in the same analysis include: speF, ybhL, metA, and serC.
Source: Rfam by way of RNAcentral